Mytilus trossulus (common blue mussel) is the source of this 1244-nucleotide long non-coding RNA. RefSeq lists it as uncharacterized. The transcript has 3 exons. Lineage: Eukaryota; Metazoa; Mollusca; Bivalvia; Mytilida; Mytilidae. The record is from RefSeq and is a predicted model, not a curated record.
CCAACUCAGCCCACUUUAAAAAUCUUGCUUCCUUAAGUAUGUUAAAUAACUGUUAGUUCGUAUCCAGUCGUCCUGGUACCGUGUAGUGGUAUGUGUCGUGGCUUGAUAUGCCAAAGGUCUUGCAUGAGUUGGAAUCCCAGCAUAUAGUCCAUAUACACUGGAUUUUUUCGACGUGAAUUUUGAUAGAUAUUCUUCUCCGUAUAAUUAAUUAAGUUUUAUAGUGGAUUUGACAUUCCUGCCAAAAUGUUACAGAACAAAGGAAAGCAUGCACAACAAAGAAACUCAAACUGGGGUGAUCUGGUAGGGGUGAUCCGUCUCAGAUCACCCCUGUUAGAACAAAGGAGCUGGGAUGUAAUCUUUUGGUAUUACAUAACACUUGUAUGCAAUAUUUCUGCAGAUACAGAUACAGAUAAAAAAAAAAUUGAAUCAGAUAAUGAUUGCCCCAUAUUGCAUGAAACUGGCAAAACUUCCAGUGAAUAAACUUAUAGACAGACUAGCUGAGGUUAACAAUUAUUAAUUAUUAAUUCUUUUAAUAACAAUAUUCUAAACAUGCUAAAUAGUAUAUCUGAUGAGUUAAUAUUUUUAAUUCUAAGUUGCUUAGUGAGUAGUUUCAAGUCAUGCACUAGUGAUUGUCUUCAUGGACCAAUGAGUUAGGUUUGUUAUAACCGUUUAGGUUUUACAAGUUUGGGUAUGACAACUCUCUCUUCUUUAUAAUGAUUGGUUCAUUAAGUCACAUGUCUUUUUUGGAGGGAAAUUCUAUUGUCUUGGUUAGAAUUUGCUUAUAUCUUGAACUGAGGGGUGCUGAUAUAGUUUGUACUCAUAUUUAAUGGACAUCUUUGAUUUUAUAAAUAAAAAAGAUAUUGAACCAGACUAAGAUUGUACAUGAUGUAGUACCACAAGGGUUCCAGAGUUUUGUUUAUACAGGGCAUUUGUACCUCAUACAAGUAUGUUGAGAGAAGUUCAGAACAAGCUAUUAUGUUUGAAGAGGAGUUGUCAGCACGUCAUCUUUGAAUAAAGUCAGUUGUAUUAGAAGUGAAGCAUAAACAGAAAUGAGACAUUUAACAAAUAAUUCAAAGACUACAUGGAUUUUAUCUGGACUAGCAUUUGUAUGACCCAAAUGUGGUAUUUUUCAUAUGAAGACUUACAAGGCAAUUAAUUUGCUGUGGCAAACAUGUGUAUAUAUUUGACAUGUUUAAAGACUUGAAGAACUUGGACUGCCUCCUUCAGGUUUCAGUAGAAUUGGU